RNAcentral lists this ribosomal RNA (497 nucleotides) under uncultured bacterium. RNAcentral describes it as "partial 16S ribosomal RNA". It matches the Rfam family "Bacterial small subunit ribosomal RNA", at positions 28 to 507 of the family's 1533-position model. The record is from RNAcentral.
GAUGAACGCUGGCGGCGUGCCUAAUACAUGCAAGUCGAGCGAACAGACGAGGAGCUUGCUCCUCUGACGUUAGCGGCGGACGGGUGAGUAACACGUGGAUAACCUACCUAUAAGACUGGGAUAACUUCGGGAAACCGGAGCUAAUACCGGAUAAUAUAUUGAACCGCAUGGUUCAAUAGUGAAAGACGGUUUUGCUGUCACUUAUAGAUGGAUCCGCGCCGCAUUAGCUAGUUGGUAAGGUAACGGCUUACCAAGGCAACGAUGCGUAGCCGACCUGAGAGGGUGAUAGGCCACACUGGAACUGAGACACGGUCCAGAGUACUACGGGAGGCAGCAGUAGGGAAUCUGCCGCAAUGGGCGAAAGCCUGACGGAGCAACGCGGCGUGAGUGAUGAAGGUCUUCGGAUCGUAAAACUCUGUUAUUAGGGAAGAACAAAUGUGUAAGUAACUAUGCACGUCUUGACGGUACCUAAUCAGAAAGCCACGGCUAACUACGUG